Corvus hawaiiensis (hawaiian crow) is the source of this 109-nucleotide long non-coding RNA. RefSeq lists it as uncharacterized. The transcript has 3 exons. NCBI's taxonomy places the organism in Eukaryota, Metazoa, Chordata, Aves, Passeriformes, Corvidae. The record is from RefSeq and is a predicted model, not a curated record.
UAUGUGCUCUAGGAUGACCCCGCUUGAGCUGGGAGGUUGGACCGGAUGACCUACUGUGGUCCCUUCCAACCUGACCCAUUCUGUGAUUCUGUUUCUUUAAAAUAAUUAA